Long non-coding RNA from Clupea harengus (Atlantic herring), 1889 nucleotides. The record is from Ensembl. NCBI's taxonomy places the organism in Eukaryota, Metazoa, Chordata, Actinopteri, Clupeiformes, Clupeidae.
GAGGGGUUGAGGUAUUGGUAGGGGGAAGUAGAGUGGUAUUGGGAGUAGUUGAUGGAGGAGUUGUAGUAUAAUUGACAGUAGCUUCAGGAGUAACUGCAGUACUUGAUGUUGUGGCGGGAGUAGAGAGAGCUGUAGUCAUAGUAAGCGUACUUGAUUGAGGGGUUGUGGUAUUGGUAGGGGGAAGUAGAGUGGUAUUGGGAGUAGUUGAUGGAGGAGUUGUAGUAUAAUUGACAGUAGCUUCAGGAGUAACUGCAGUACUUGAUGUUGUUGCAGGAGUAGAGAGAGCUGUAGUCAUAGUAAGCGUACUUGAUUGAGGGGUUGUGGUAUUGGUAGGGGGAAGUAGAGUGUUAUUGGGAGUAGUUGAUGGAGGAGAGACAGUAGCUUCAGUAGUAACUGCAGUACUUGAUCUUGUGGCAGGAGAGGAGGGAGCUGUAGUCAUAGUAAGCGUACUUGAUUGAGGGGUUGUGGUAUUGGUAGGGGGAAGUAGAGUGUUAUUGGGAGUAGUUGUGGCAAGAGUGAAGAUAGCUGUGGGAGAAACAGGAGUGCUGGAUGGAGAAGUUGGGUUAGGAUGGGAGAUGUUGAUGGUUGUUGCUGAUGGUUGAGUCCCAGUAGACUGUGGACUGUGAGAUACAGCAGGUGUCACACCGGAGAGAGUAGUAUCAGCUUGGCCAACAGUGCUAGAAUAAUUAAAGGGAAAAAGGAGAAUUGUUGUGCUGUAGUCUGGAUUUGUGGUUGGGAGAGUUUGGGCUGUAUUGAAUAGUGCUGUAAAAGAGAUACAGGCACAUUAGAAGACAGAUAAAUAAGAAAACUCCUCAUAACAUUUUAAGCUUAUUCAUGUUAUGGAAAUAAAAUAUAGUAUGAGCCUGUCUUGUCAUUCAGAAAGGUUAAUGACAGCUAUAACCUUCAGUUUCACUUUAACUUUACUCUUUGCAUGACAUUCAAAUUAGGGAGCUUAUUAUGUGGCCAAAAUGUCAAGGGGCCUAUGUGGUUUAAGAACAAGAAGCAAUAGCUAUUUUCAUGAAACACAAUGGUGGCCAAAUGAAAUGAUUCAUGAGGGUAAAUAAUUCUUAAUUUAAAGCUUAAAAUGUAUUUAAUACAAUUUAGUAUAACUUUUGUAUAUCAUUAUAUACAAUACAUUGUGGUGGAUAAAUAAAGGACACAGCUAUUGAUAAAUCUUUUAGUACAUUUUCAGAAACACCACGUAUGUCAAACAUAGACUAAAUGCUAAUAGUUAUUCAUUUGGCAAAUGCCCAUGCUGAGAUGAUUAAUCAGAUUUGCUUAAACAAAUGAAAAACCUGACAUCAUACUUUCAGCAGCUUUUGAAACCAAAUGAAAGCAACUCAAGCAAACUAAAUAAGCAAAAACAGAAAUGCUACACUGAUGAAUGACAUUGAAUAACACGGAACGCAAUCUGUAACAUGAUAUUCGCUUAUGAUAAGGUUCAAAUACUUGGUUACAUAGAAGCAUGGUAACAACAUGCAUUGCUUACCUGACAACAGCACAAGUAUCAAGGAACAACUCUGCAUUGUCCAGCUUCUUCCGUGGUGCCUCUAGCUAAACCAUAUGUAGCAUUUUAAAUAACAAUUUCCUGCAAAACUCUGUAACACUACCCACCGCUUGUGAAUGAUUAAUAAAGCUAUAAGGAAGUCCUUACUUAUCACUCACCUCAGCCCACUCAGAGUUGAAAUACAUUGCAGUCAAUAAAGUGCCAACAAUGGAACCUCAAGAUGGUAUGCAUGUAUUGUCUUUUUUCAGUAGAAUGGAUGACACUGAAUAGUAUUUCUGAUGUUUGUAGGUCAGAGACACAGUGGGUGAGUGUUUCUGUUUGUCAUAACCAAUACAAAACAGGGUGGAGGAUUUUAUGGCUGCAAUACCCAGGCAAGCGCUGC